Molecule: RNA transcript, 1687 nt
Organism: Helianthus annuus (common sunflower)
Lineage: Eukaryota; Viridiplantae; Streptophyta; Magnoliopsida; Asterales; Asteraceae
Gene name: probable sodium/metabolite cotransporter BASS4, chloroplastic
Exons: 13
Source: RefSeq, a predicted model, not a curated record
ACAACCAAAAGCGAAUGUGAGGCUGUGAGCUACCGUUCCCUGAGAGCCAGCCAAUGGCGGGAACUGUUCAAACCCUAACCAAUCUCCUUAAUCCAGUCACCGGAACCCUUCAUCUCCGAUCUCUCAACUCAAAAUCUAACAAACACUCCUUCAAUGUCAUCAAUAACUCGUUGAUACUCACGAAGGCUCGUUCGAUUACACCAACACUCAUCAUUAGAAACCACACCAAUUCCGAUCAGAUUCACGGAAAUGGCGGUGCAGAUCUACCUGCUCGAAAAUCUGGUAUUUUGAGGUUUUCAGUUGUGGUAGAACCUCUAUUCAGUUUCGCAUCUAACAAUUUUCUUCCGCUAGCUCUUGUUGGAGGAGUAGCAUUGGGCCUUGCAAAUCCGGUUCCUGGUUGUAUUGCUCAUAGAUAUCAGUUAUCUAAAGUUAGCGCUUUUGGGAUAUUUAUCAUAUCAGGCAAGAAGCUAAGAGUAUUAGCUAGUAGCUACUGCUAGCUUUACUCUUAAUCAGCUUAUUCUCUGCCUUUUCAUGAUACAGGAUUGACGCUUCGUAGCGAGGAUAUUAGUGCAGCUGCAGAAGCUUGGCCCGUUGGACUCUUCGGGCUAGUCUCUAUUUUAUUGUUGACUCCCAACCUUUCCAGAAUUAUCCUGCAACUUCAUCUCCAACCUCAAGAAUUUGUUACGGGCCUCGCUCUUUUUAGCUGUAUGCCUACAACAUUAUCAAGUGGAGUUGCUCUAACCCGGCUUGCUGGAGGAAAUGCUGCAUUGGCUCUUGCAAUGACCGUAACAUCUAGUUUGUUAGCUAUUAUUAUUCUGCCGUUUUCCAUAUCGAAUCUGAUAGCUUGUGGACUAGGGGCAACUGUCCCAACUGGAAAAUUGUUCAGACGACUUAUCUUCACACUUUUGAUACCUUUGAUUUUGGGAAAGGUAAUAAUACCUUUUGUUGCCACUUUGAGGGACCGCAUCAAAUAUCACAAAUUCUUAAUCAUGCAGUGGAAGUAUCAUGCCCUUUUCUUGUAGAAAGGUUUAAAAAAGUAAUUUUUGGUUUCUUGACAGGCUUUUCGGGAAUCCUUUAAAGGUUUGGCAGAUUUUGCUGACAAUAACCGUAAGCUCUUAUCCGUGCUGAGUGUAUUAUUACUCAGUUUGGUCCCAUGGAUACAGGUAAGCAGAUCAAGGCCCCUGCUUCUAAUGGUUAAACCUGCAGCUUUUCUUGUAGUUGUCAUCAUGGGAAUACUUCUUCACGUCAUACUAUUAGGUUUCAAUGCAAUAUCAAUACGGUGCCUGUGUGCGCUAUCUGGUGGUAGCAAAUCGAUUUUUGCAAAGAAGGAAAAUUCCACUGCCCUGUUACUAGUUGCUAGUCAGAAAGCAUUACCGGUGCUGGUUGCAGUGGUGGAUCAACUAGGUUGUACGUUUGGCGAAUCGGGUUUACUCAUCAUUCCCUGUAUUGCAGCACAUUUAAACCAGAUCAUAAUGGGCUCUAUUCUCGUAAGCUAUUGGAACAAAAACGAAGACUCCCUUGACAAUACGAAGGCUGCAUAAGACCUAAGUGAUCAAAGAUGCAACCAAGAUUUUUUUUUUUUUUUUUUUUUUUCAGUCGGGAUGGUGUUCUUCAUAUUCGACUCACGUGAUCAUAACAGUAACUUACAUGUCAUUACCCAUUACCUAUUUUUCAUGCUUUCUGGUAA